GUUUCUUUCAAAGCAAAGUAACCCUAACACGUGAAUUGUCAUUGGAGUCUGCACCAACAUUCAUAAAAUACUUCUGAGAAAAAGAAUACCUUUUUCAGCCAGAAAACUAUGGAUCUCUUUUUCUUAGGAUCUCUGCUGAUUUUGUUUCCCCAUUUUUGCAGAUCUUUUCUUCUUUUUUUCCAAUUUUUUGCACUCUGUUUCCUUUUUUUU
Molecule: long non-coding RNA, 210 nt
Filed under: Prunus dulcis (almond)
Lineage: Eukaryota; Viridiplantae; Streptophyta; Magnoliopsida; Rosales; Rosaceae
Description: sRNA ncRNA
Source: RNAcentral